This 452-nucleotide long non-coding RNA is filed under the name Vigna radiata. Its description in RNAcentral is "long non-coding RNA (VRAD_LNC004913)". The record is from RNAcentral. Lineage: Eukaryota; Viridiplantae; Streptophyta; Magnoliopsida; Fabales; Fabaceae.
UGCUUAGUAUUUCCUUCUUCUUCUUCUUUAUGCUAAACCUCUUUAAGAAAUUGAUCAUGCCAAGCACAUGUUUCCAUCCAUCAAUCAUAGGAGCCUUGAUCUCCAAUUUCUCAAAGAUCUCCUUGAAAAACUUAACCCUAUUUUCCUUCCUAGGGUUUUUCUUUUUAUGAAGAAAGGGUUCUUUACAUGACUUUUUUUUUUCUCUCUUUUCCUCUUCCUCUUAAUUUUCCUUGACCUUCUCUUUUUCUUUUUCUUCAAUUUUUUCUUUUUUUCUCUUUUUUUCUCAAUCAUGGCUUUUCCUUCCUCAUCUUUCUUCUCACUCUCAUUCACAUUUUUUAUUUCUAUCUCCUCUAUAUUUUUCUCAACAACAACUUCUUCUGUUUUUGUUUCCUCUUCCAACAUCUCUAGCUCUUCUUCUUCUUUCUUUUCCUCAUUGAGAACCUUAUCAUGUG